Molecule: long non-coding RNA, 323 nt
Filed under: Gossypium raimondii (Peruvian cotton)
Lineage: Eukaryota; Viridiplantae; Streptophyta; Magnoliopsida; Malvales; Malvaceae
Description: long non-coding RNA (GRAI_LNC005171)
Source: RNAcentral
GUGGUUGAGGGGUUUUCUUUUUUUUUUUAUGUACAACAUUUUUGCCAUUUGUGUCAAGGCAGUGUGUAACUUGGGUACAACAUUUGUUAUACAAUUGUUGGUGGUUCCAACACUUAAAACUAAAGCUCCAUUUGUUUCACUGAAAAUGGCUUCUGAAAAAUGAUUUUUAAAAAAUGACUUACUUUUCUGUAAAAUUUAAUAUUUUCAGGUGUUUGGAUGAAUCUAUGUAAAAUAUUUUCUUUUAUUUGGCAGGUUCUUUAAAAAUAUUUCAUAAAAGUCGUUUUCGAUUAAAUAAACAUACAUUUUAGAUUUUUUUAUUAUUU